AGUCGACCGGAUGACGGGAGCUUGCUCCUUGAUUCAGCGGCGGACGGGUGAGUAAUGCCUAGGAAUCUGCCUGGUAGUGGGGGACAACGUUUCGAAAGGAACGCUAAUACCGCAUACGUCCUACGGGAGAAAGCAGGGGACCUUCGGGCCUUGCGCUAUCAGAUGAGCCUAGGUCGGAUUAGCUAGUUGGUGGGGUAAUGGCUCACCAAGGCGACGAUCCGUAACUGGUCUGAGAGGAUGAUCAGUCACACUGGAACUGAGACACGGUCCAGACUCCUACGGGAGGCAGCAGUGGGGAAUAUUGGACAAUGGGCGAAAGCCUGAUCCAGCCAUGCCGCGUGUGUGAAGAAGGUCUUCGGAUUGUAAAGCACUUUAAGUUGGGAGGAAGGGCAGUAAGCGAAUACCUUGCUGUUUUGACGUUACCGACAGAAUAAGCACCGGCUAACUCUGUGCCAGCAGCCGCGGUAAUACAGAGGGUGCAAGCGUUAAUCGGAAUUACUGGGCGUAAAGCGCGCGUAGGUGGUUUGUUAAGUUGGAUGUGAAAGCCCCGGGCUCAACCUGGGAACUGCAUCCAAAACUGGCAAGCUAGAGUACGGUAGAGGGUGGUGGGAAUUUCCUGUGUAGCGGUGAAAUGCGUAGAUAUAGGAAGGAACACCAGUGGCGAAGGCGACCACCUGGACUGAUACUGACACUGAGUGCGAAAGCGUGGGGAGCAAACAGGAUUAGAUACCCUGUAGUCCACGCCGUAAACGAUGUCAACUA
This 762-nucleotide ribosomal RNA is filed under the name bacterium PA4(2013). RNAcentral describes it as "bacterial SSU rRNA". It matches the Rfam family "Bacterial small subunit ribosomal RNA", at positions 60 to 818 of the family's 1533-position model. The record is from RNAcentral.